UUAAAUUAUUAUUUUUUUUUUUUUAAAUAAAAACGCCCGAGUACUGUCGCGCGCGUGCCUCAGGGAAGCGGCAUCUCGGGACUGAACUUCACGCGCAAGAAGAGGGCAACGGCAAAUUUAAAGUACGUCAUUAAUAUGGCGCCAAAAGACUUUUAAGUGUGAGCUUAUUUUUGUUGUAGGCUUGCACGAGCCCAGUGUACGCCUGUGCAGUCGCACGAGGCGGGGAGAGGGAGCGCGAGAUUGAGAGAGAGAGCGAGCGAGAGAGAGAGAGAGCGAGAGAAACAGGGAGGGAGGGAACACGAUGAGAUAAACGUUUUGGUGGCAGCGCGUUGCGAAACUACCCCGAUCCAACUUGCACAGCUUUUUGAAGAUAUAUCGACCUUUUUACGAAUUCUGCAAUAAACGUAAUUCUUAAAUAAAAACCUCCAAACUGACCGAAGAGCCGGCGGUGGACCCUGGAUUACCACAUAAAAUGCGGCAUGAUUAGCUAGCGGCUAACUGAAGCGCGCUAGUUAGCUAGGAGUGUUAGCUGAUAAAUUGUGUAUUUUGGGGCACGUAUACGAAGUCAAACAUACAGCCUUACUACCUAGUUGUGAUUAAAAGAGCGCAGGCGGCCAUCUCGGCGUUGCUUGCGUGUCGUCGCCUGUUUUUCCGCGGGUGUCCGGCUAGCUCAGCGGGCUAUGUGAAGAGAGUAGUGGCAGCCAGUUAGCCGAGCUGUAGCUAGCCGCUCACUUUACUUUACUUCACUCGGGUUCCUGGGAGGUGAGCGGACCCACGGGGGAUGUUAGCUACCGUUACCGCGGACCGCCGAGUCGCUCUGCCCGCCGAUGAUCUCCUAAUCCCGCUGCACCGCCCGCCCCGCCACCGAGGACUCCUUUCCUCCCAUUGCAGAAACUGCCUGGCCGCAAGAUGGAGAGCGAGAAUAAGAGGAGGAAGUACUCCACCAGCAGCAAUGACUCAGACACCACUGACAGUCACGUGACUUCAUGGUCCAAGUCCUCCAAGAACACAGGCACCAGUAGCACGUGGGUCCGGCAAGAGCAGAAGAAGCCGUCAGAGGUGUUUCGGACUGACUUCAUCACUGCCAUGAAGCUACCGGAUUCGGCCCAGCUGAGCUCUGAUGACUUCUACGUUCUGUCAGAUCCUUGGCGACAGGAGUGGGAAAAGGGUGUCCAGGUGCCGGCCAACGUGGAUGCUAUCCCGGAGCCUGUGGUUAGGGUGCUGCCUGAGGUCAGCCGGAUCUCGUUCUGCUCCCCGUCAUACAGUCGAGUGUUUCCAGAUCCGGGUCAAGGACAAGCACAGCCACUUGCAGAACCACUCGCCCUCUACGACCUCGAUGACCUUGAUGUGUGUUGGUUGGAGUUGGUCAAUGAAGAAUUCAGGGAGUUGGCACUUCCUGAGCUGGAUGAGCUAACGAUGGAGCGCAUCAUAGCAGAACUGGAGAUCCAGUGUGAGGAGAACAUGCAGCUGGCCAUUGAGACAGGCGAAGGCCUGGGCAUCGAAUAUGACGAGGAUGUGGUGUGCGACGUGUGUCGUUCUCCAGAGGGCGAGGAUGGCAAUGAGAUGGUCUUCUGUGAUAAGUGCAAUGUCUGUGUGCACCAGGCAUGUUACGGCAUCCUGAAGGUCCCCCUGGGAAACUGGCUGUGUCGCACCUGCGCCUUGGGCGUGCAGCCCAAGUGCCUACUGUGCCCCAAGAGGGGUGGGGCCCUGAAGCCCACCCGCAGUGGCACCAAAUGGGUCCAUGUCAGCUGUGCCUUAUGGAUCCCUGAGGUGAGCAUCGGCUGUCCAGAGAAAAUGGAGCCCAUCACAAAGGUGUCCCACAUCCCCCCCAGCCGCUGGGCACUCUCCUGCAGCCUGUGCAGGGAGCACAUGGGUACCUGCAUUCAGUGUUCCAUGCCUUCCUGCAUUGUGGCCUUCCAUGUGACCUGCGCCUUUGACCAUGGCUUGGAGAUGCGCACCCUCCUGGCUGAGAAUGACGAGGUGCGCUUCAAGUCCUACUGCUUGGAGCACAGUGGAGGAGCAAGGGCUGGAGGUGAGCAGACCUCUGGUUCAGAUCAAGCUCCACCGGAGCGAGCGGACAAGGACAAGCUAGAGAAGGCCAGCCUGCGGAAGCAAAAGUUGCAGGAGCUAGAAGAUGAGUUCUAUCGGCUAGUGAACCCCCAAGAUGUGGCGGAGAGCCUGGGUCUUCCCGAUGUCCAUGUUGACUUCCUCUACCAAUUCUGGAAGCUACGGCGGAAAUCCAACUUCAACCGACCACUUCUGGCCCUCAAGCGGGAUGAGGUUGACAACUUGGCCCAGCAGGAGCAGGAUGUCCUGUACCGCCGCCUCAAGCUCUUCACCCAUUUACGGCAAGACUUGGAGCGGGUCAGAAAUUUGUGCUACAUGAUCACUCGGCGUGAGAAGAUGAAACACUCCCUGUGUGACCUGCAGGAGAAGAUCUUUGACCUCCAGAUCCAGCUCAUUAAUGAGGACUUGGCAGGAGAAAAAGCCCUGAGAAGGGAGAAGGUCAAGCAGAAUGGAGUUAAGGAAAGGGGGAAGGAACGCAGGAGAAGAGCUUCUGCAAAGCGGGAGAGAUGGAAAGCUGGAAAAGGGUCCUUGCUCAAGCAGCUGGGUUUGCCAAAGCCCUACUCUUUGUACGAUGGCUGGCUGCCACAGCCUGUACAGAUCACGGCCGACGACAUGCUGGGCCGGUGGUCCCUGGAUGGCGAGCCCCAGGACACCACAGCCAGCCUGCUGUCAAACCAGCUACUGCAGGGUGAAGAGAGCCUGCUCAUGGUGGACCACUCCAUGAAGCCUGCUUGGAAGACACCCCAGCCUAGUAGGAAGGCCAGAGGCAAGCCUCGGAGCAAGGGCCACAAGGCCCACCUCGAACCCACCCGUAGCACUGCCCCCAGCACAGCCAAGGGAGGCAGGACCCUCCUGGAGGAGAAAGGUCGGAAUGAGGCCAAACGGUCUGAGAGAGCCCGCUCAUCCUCCAGAGCCCAGCAUCUGGCCCGCAGGGGGCCUGAGCCAAGAGAGGAGCAGAGCCAGCUUGCACCACAGCCCCCAAUCUCCAAAAUGGACUCCUGUCACAUCUCGGAGGAUUGCGGGCCCUGGAACAGCCAAUCCACCCCAACUCUGGAAGUCGGCUGUCCUGUCCAAGUGCCUGAGGCUUGGGGGAGAGGCGUAGGUGGGGCUGAGGUAGGGGGUGGGGCAGCAGUGCGAUUCCGACUUCCUCGGCAGAGCAAAUCCCGUGCCAAGGGAGGGGAGCAGGAAGCAGGGCAGGAGCCUGCAGGGAAAGACAGUUCCCUCUUUGACCCAGAGACUGACGGAUAUUACUCAGAUGCGGAGCUGAGCGACUCCGACAUGCACUCCAACCGUAGCGGCAGGCUCCGUUUCUCCCAGUUGCACUCUGGGAAGGAGGAGGUCCUCCGGCGGAGCGUGCUGGCCUCUUAAAAGAACUGCAGAAAGACUAACAGUUGCCGAAACAAAGGCAGCAGCGGUGUAGAACUAACUGCCGUGAUCCUUGCUGUUCUCAGCACAGUUUGUUUCUACAGAUCACUUUCACCAACUCAAAUCUGUUUUUCUACAUUUCUGUCAUCAUAUUCUUAUGGCUACAUUGUCCUACUGGAGACGUUAGUCCAGAGACAUGGGUGUUUGUGGAAAUUGUAACCCUGUGUUUCAACCACAAAAGACCAACAUUCUUUUCUGGUCUUCAGUAGAACAUUGAGGAGUCCACAAAGGAAACCAUGCGACUCCUCUCAGCGGCAGCUUGUGCUGCUCCUUGAAGAUGCAAGUGCAGGUCGACUACUUGUGGGGCAUUAUGACCUGGUUCAGGUGGUGUUCUCCCUCACUUCGUACCUAAGAUCUGAAAUGCUGGUGGGGUGUCGGAGACGGGGCUGGCUGCUCGCAAGGAACCCACCUCGCCAUCUCUCCAACCUAGAGUCUGAUGGACUGACUGGCUAUGUGGGUGGAGGGACCGAGCGUCGCCAUUACACCGCCUCGCAGUCGCAUCUCGGUGUCACUGAAGCCCUUCGCUGGCUCGCAGCUCCUGUGUAGGUGUCACAGGGUUUGAGAUCCCCCCCUUUCCCCCCCCUCCCUAUUUUUGUUUUUCUGAAACAUGGCCGCUUUUGCAGUCCUUCCAAGGCGGCUCAGAGACCCUCGAGCAUGGAGCAGUUUGAGCCACGGCGAGUCAUCUUGAUGGCCAUGAAGCUUGCAAGAGGUGACACCACGGUGGCUUUGUCCUCCUGCAGAGACAAUGACAUAUCGGUGUCCAUAGCAUUGUGUUCGGUCCCAAUGUUGUUCCUUUGCGGCUCUUGGUGGAGCAGCGAGAGAAACUGUCAGCAACAGUGGGAUUUUACAACUGGGAAACACUGGUCUUUGAGCUAGAGUCCUGGUUACGUUUUAAGAAUGCUGGGAAGGUUUUCUAGCAACCGACAACCCGAUCAGAGGAAUGUCAUUUUUACAGUGAUAAAGGCCAAGAACUUCUGUUCUUGUGGUUUUGCUUUCAAAGGGGAAUGUCAUCAUAUCAGCAAGUCAUCUUCCUCUGUGUUAGCUGCUUAAUCCAUUAGGGAUUGAAUCAAGGCUGUAGUGGACUGCUAAUUCUUGGUUUUGUAUGCACCAACAAUGUAUAUUACAGUACUAGCAAUCUUUUUAUUUCUUUCCUGUAACAGGCUUCGCAAGCUGUUUUUGUAGGCGUUUAGCUCCGGUACCUAGACUAGAAUACUGACAGUUAUUGCAAUUAUUACUUGAGCUUGCUUUCUGUGUACUUCAACAGAUUUAAUUUUGGCUUCUUAAAAGUCCCAAACGCCACUGCUUUAAGCUUCUGUGUUCUGCAUCCAGAGUCCUGAGCUGUUCUCACACAGAAGGAUCAAAGAAACAUACUUAAAGGACAAAUAACGACACCCAUGUGUUCCAUAGUAAGUGUUUUCAUCCUACCCCUCGAGUAACACGCUGCACCCUAAUGGGGGUGAAGGUGAGGCUCUCGUCCUGAGACAUUUACCCUGCCCGUGUGGGUCCACGCUGUCUGGAGCUCCGCUCCCUCGCUCUCCGUGCCACACGAGCCUCGACUCCAUUUCUAGGCUUCGGUAGAACCAUCAUUUGACAUGAGAAAACGCUUCGGAGGUAAUUUCUUGACUGAGGACAAUCGUCAUUUAAAAAAAAAAAAAAAAAAAAUCAUACAAAUUCAGUGACACAUUUUGCAUCUUCCCUAUAUGUUCUCACUAAUUUGCAAAAUGUACAUAUUAUAUAAAAACAUUCACUUCUUGAAGUUCAGUUCAAGACUUUUAUUUUGGACCAUGAACUGCUAGCUUUUAAGUGCCUAUGACAAAGGGUUUUGUUCCAAUUGCUAGGUCACAUACUGUUUGUUUUCCAUAAGAAAGUAUGAGUGCAGUGCUACACAGUUGGCGACUGAUGGGUCCUGAUCUUCAGAGAGUGUCCUAGUGUCACUCAGAUGUGGUGUCACUGCUUAGAUAGAUCUGUUGCGUCUUGUGCACCUCUGAUUCACACUCCUCCUGAACCCUUUGUUUCCUUUAAGACUCUGUCAAAAGGGGUGUCACUCUACUAAAUUCACAUGGCUUCAGGGCAGACUUUUUUUUUUUUUUUUUUAAAAUCGAAACAUCGAGGUUUCGGUUGUUGCCCCAGCCCCUUACGUAGAGGUGAUCUUAUUUGUCCUUUAAAGGUGUUCCCUGUUUUUGUUGCCAUGUACAAUUCCUGAAACAUUUCUGCUUUGCAUCAUUUAUUGAUACGAUAAUAUGAAUGUUACAGGGGUUUUCUCCCUUCUGUAUUCUUUGUUUCAAAGAAUGUUGUGCCAUUUGUUAAUAGCAAAGAGAAAUAUUGAAGAUAUAUUAAAAAGAGCUAUUUUAAAUUAUUUUUGGCUUUUUUUUGCAAUAUUUAUUUUCUUGUAUUAGAAUCUUCUUUGUAGUAAAAAGAAAAACGAAACAAAAAAUGUAUUUUCAUUAGUGCAGAAACCUAUUUUUUCCUUUUUUGUACAUUUUCCAUGUUAAGCAAUCUUUAAAGCAAUAUGAUGUACGAACUGUUGUUCCACGUGGCUGUGGCUGUGUCUGUCUGCAUGCUGUUUGUGUUGCCUUAACGAUGGCUGCGUCUCCCAUGGCCCCCCACCCGUCACCCCUGCCAUCUCCGGUGUGGUUGACCAGUACAGUCAAUAAAGCUGUGCUUUCU
Molecule: RNA transcript, 6159 nt
Organism: Scleropages formosus (Asian bonytongue)
Lineage: Eukaryota; Metazoa; Chordata; Actinopteri; Osteoglossiformes; Osteoglossidae
Gene name: protein Jade-1-like
Exons: 13
Source: RefSeq, a predicted model, not a curated record